RNAcentral lists this long non-coding RNA (936 nucleotides) under Homo sapiens (human). RNAcentral describes it as "HSALNT0105236". The record is from RNAcentral. Lineage: Eukaryota; Metazoa; Chordata; Mammalia; Primates; Hominidae.
CUGCGCCCGCGCUUUCCUGCUCUCCCCCGCUCGUCUGCCCGCGGAGGGCGGCCCCGGGGUACCCCUCCCCACCUGAUGGCACCGACGUCCCUGGCCUUAGCGCCCCACCCCGACUCUUCCUCAUGGCGGGCACCUGUGUUUAUCAAACUAGCCGGACCACAGGUGCCCUGCUGAGUGCGCACCGGGCGCUGAAACCAGAGCCGCGCUCUACAGGGUCCAGAGUGAGGCCCACAGAGUGGAUGGAACCCCUGAGCCACACAGCUGGUCAGAGAAUGGCACAGACACAACCCAGGCCUCCAUCUACUCGACAGACCUCACCACGAGCCUACUAUGUGCUGGGUGUGGUCCCCACCCUCUGGGAUCUCCUGCGACCACGCUGAGUGCCGAGGACAGGAGCCCUGUCUACACCUGUGUGUCCCCUUCUCCCCUCCAGGACCAGCCCAGCAGAGGCUCAGGAGCCCAGAGGACAACAGUCCCUGCAGUGCGCCUUCCAUCCACUGGGAGGCACAAGACCAGUCUGAACAGCAGAGGGAGCAGGAGGAUGGGGCUACAGGGAAAGGGUCCUGGCUGGAGGCCUGUGGGCAGGCAGGGCUGUUCUGGGCCCUCUGGAGAGGAGCUGGUUGACAGCUUGUUCUAGGGUUGCAGGAGGGCACAGUCCCUGAAAUGCCCACGGGGUCUACACCCCAAGACCUUGAUCUGAGGUAGGAGAGGAAGACAGCUGCAUCCCAUUCUGCCCCAUUCCACCCUGCGUGGACUUUGAGAUCCAGGUGGGCGCCAUGGGAAAGGUAGCAGGGUGGGUCAGUGCUGUCUGGAAAGAUUAGAUAAGGAGGAGGAAGGGAGCUAGAUAGAAGUGGGGCAGGUGACUAUCAAGGAGCCUGACUCAAAACCUACCACCUUGGCCACCAUCAGAGCACCAUGGGAGGGGGAAUGACAGAC